This 181-nucleotide ribosomal RNA is filed under the name uncultured bacterium. Its description in RNAcentral is "partial 16S ribosomal RNA". It matches the Rfam family "Bacterial small subunit ribosomal RNA", at positions 1320 to 1500 of the family's 1533-position model. The record is from RNAcentral.
AUGAAGCUGGAAUCGCUAGUAAUCGCAGAUCAGAAUGCUGCGGUGAAUACGCUCCCGGGUCUUGUACACACCGCCCGUCACACCAUGGGAGUUGGAAAUGCCCGAAGCCAGUGACCCAACCGUAAGGAGGGAGCUGUCGAAGGUGGAGCCGAUGACUGAGGUGAAGUCGUAACAAGGUAUC